Molecule: long non-coding RNA, 321 nt
Filed under: Citrus x clementina
Lineage: Eukaryota; Viridiplantae; Streptophyta; Magnoliopsida; Sapindales; Rutaceae
Description: Citrus clementina (C. clementina) long non-coding RNA (CCLE_LNC000858)
Source: RNAcentral
AUAAGUUAAAAGGAACAAAAGAUAAUAAUAAAAGUGUUAAUAAUUUAAUGGUAGGGAUGGUUUGAGGUAUUUUUAAAAAUAUAAGAACUAAACGAGCACUAACUUCAAAAUAUAGAGAUUAAACGAGCUUUUACCCUAAUUUGCGCUCUCGGUCGGGUAUGGAUUAUCGGGUCCGGAUCUGAAAAAUUAUUUGACCAAAUGGUCUUGUAGACUAUUUUUUUGGGUUGGAGCAUGGGCGCACGAUGGGUUGACCGUAGAGGCGUAUACGUGGGGUUGGGUAACCAAUAACUAACUACUACAUUAAUGUUUUCUUCAUUUUUA